Molecule: ribosomal RNA, 800 nt
Filed under: uncultured bacterium
Lineage: Bacteria
Description: bacterial SSU rRNA
Rfam family: Bacterial small subunit ribosomal RNA
Source: RNAcentral
AGAGUUUGAUCCUGGCUCAGGAUGAACGCUAGCGGCAGGCUUAAUACAUGCAAGUCGAGGGGCAGCAUGUCCCGCAGCAAUGCGGGAUGAUGGCGACCGGCAAACGGGUGCGGAACACGUACACAACCUUCCUUUAAGUGGGGAAUAGGCCAGGGAAACUUGGGUUAAUACCCCGUAAUAUAUAGAAGCGGCAUCGCUUUUAUAUUAUAGCUCCGGCGCUUGAAGAUGGGUGUGCGGCUGAUUAGAUAGUUGGCGGGGUAACGGCCCACCAAGUCGACGAUCAGUAACUGGUGUGAGAGCACGACCAGUCACACGGGCACUGAGACACGGGCCCGACUCCUACGGGAGGCAGCAGUAAGGAAUAUUGGUCAAUGGACGCAAGUCUGAACCAGCCAUGCCGCGUGGAGGAUGAAGGUCCUCUGGAUUGUAAACUUCUUUUAUUUGGGAAGAAACCCACCUUUUCUUGGGUGGUUGACGGUACCAGAUGAAUAAGCACCGGCUAACUCCGUGCCAGCAGCCGCGGUAAUACGGAGGGUGCAAGCGUUAUCCGGAUUCACUGGGUUUAAAGGGUGCGUAGGUGGGCAAGUAAGUCAGUGGUGAAAUCUCCGGGCUUAACCCGGAAACUGCCAUUGAUACUAUUUGUCUUGAAUACUGUGGAGGUCAGCGGAAUAUGUCAUGUAGCGGUGAAAUGCUUAGAUAUGACAUAGAACACCAAUUGCGAAGGCAGCUGGCUACACAAAUAUUGACACUGAGGCACGAAAGCGUGGGGAUCAAACAGGAUUAGAUACCCUGGUAGUCCA